This 301-nucleotide ribosomal RNA is filed under the name uncultured bacterium. RNAcentral describes it as "partial 16S ribosomal RNA". It matches the Rfam family "Bacterial small subunit ribosomal RNA", at positions 509 to 809 of the family's 1533-position model. The record is from RNAcentral.
CAGUCGCCGCGGUAAUACAGAGGGUGCAAGCGUUAAUCGGAAUUACUGGGCGUAAAGCGCGCGUAGGUGGUUUGUUAAGUUGGAUGUGAAAUCCCCGGGCUCAACCUGGGAACUGCAUCCAAAACUGGCAAGCUAGAGUAUGGUAGAGGGUGGUGGAAUUUCCUGUGUAGCGGUGAAAUGCGUAGAUAUAGGAAGGAACACCAGUGGCGAAGGCGACCACCUGGACUGAUACUGACACUGAGGUGCGAAAGCGUGGGGAGCAAACAGGAUUAGAUACCCCGGUAGUCCUGUCUCUUAUACA